This 254-nucleotide ribosomal RNA is filed under the name uncultured bacterium. RNAcentral's name for it is "partial 16S ribosomal RNA". It matches the Rfam family "Bacterial small subunit ribosomal RNA", at positions 524 to 776 of the family's 1533-position model. The record is from RNAcentral.
UACGUAGGCAGCGAGCGUUGUUCGGAGUUACUGGGCGUAAAGGGUGUGUAGGCGGUUGUUUAAGUUUGGUGUGAAAUCUCCCGGCUCAACUGGGAGGGUGCGCCGAAUACUGAAUGACUUGGAGUGCGGGAGAGGAAAGUGGAAUUCCUGGUGUAGCGGUGAAAUGCGUAGAUAUCAGGAGGAACACCGGUGGUGUAGGCGGUUCUCUGGGCAUUACCUGACGCUGAGGAGCGAAAGCGUGGGGAGCGAACAGG